RNAcentral lists this long non-coding RNA (871 nucleotides) under Elaeis guineensis (African oil palm). RNAcentral describes it as "long non-coding RNA (EGUI_LNC079924)". Lineage: Eukaryota; Viridiplantae; Streptophyta; Magnoliopsida; Arecales; Arecaceae. The record is from RNAcentral.
GCUUGCAGAUGAAUAAGGUAAGUAGCUAACCAUUUGCAACACCGGACAGGAAAAAAAAUCAUAAAGCCGGUACUAUAUAGUUAAGGACAAUGCCGACAUUUAUGAUCCUUUUCAACUUUUUCUUAAAAAUUUAUUUUUUAAGUCAAGCAUAACAAAACUUGAUCCAUAUUAAAUUUAACUACAACGCUGAAACACCAGCUACCAAAACAUAAAUUGUAAUUUUCCUGAUCAAGAACCAAGAUAUCGGAAACUCAAAGGCCUCCACUGAACGCACAUGUAUUAUCAAUCUAAUCUAGAAAAUUCCACAAAUUUAUAGUAAAAUUCCGCAAAUAUAGCACAAGCAGUCAUGAAAUUCACAGAAAACCUAACCUACAGAAAAGAAAAUAAUCAAGAAUAGAACUAAAAAUAGUUCAAAAAAAAUAUGUUGUGGAGAAACCAUCAGAAGCCAAGAACUCACUCAAAGCUUCCCGUUGGAUUUCCUCGAAGGGAACUGGGCAGGGAAGGUUCAGAUAGUCGACCUUCUUCUCGCUCUUCUCUUCCGCCUUCGAUGGAAGAGCCACCGCCAGACCAACCGCCGGCGGCAGCGGUGAAGGCGGCGGCGGCGGGGCGGCAGCGUGGCUGACGGACGAUCCCAUCCCUCGGGGAACGAAUGCGCCCCGAUUGAGAAGAGAGGACGACGAGUGGACGACGGUGUAGGGGGAGAAGGGAGUCGAGAGAGCGUGGUGGUGUUAUAUCAAGAGUAAGUCGAGCCGCUGCGGGGACGAGGGUUUUUGGAGGGUUUUUUUAGUCCAAUUCUUUUGUAAGAGAAAGAAAUUUUUUUUUUUUUCAUUCGAUGUACCAUCUAAUUUAAUAUAAUCUAAUAUAAUCUAAU